UACGGAGGGUCCAAGCGUUAUCCGGAUUCAUUGGGUUUAAAGGGUCCGUAGGCGGAAGAAUAAGUCAGUGGUGAAAUCCUGCAGCUCAACUGUAGAACUGCCAUUGAAACUGUUUUUCUUGAGUAUAGAUGAAGUGGGCGGAAUGUGUCAUGUAGCGGUGAAAUGCAUAGAUAUGACACAGAACACCGAUUGCGAAGGCAGCUCACUAAACUAUUACUGACGCUGAGGGACGAAAGCGUGGGGAGCGAACAGG
RNAcentral lists this ribosomal RNA (253 nucleotides) under uncultured bacterium. RNAcentral's name for it is "partial 16S ribosomal RNA". It matches the Rfam family "Bacterial small subunit ribosomal RNA", at positions 524 to 776 of the family's 1533-position model. The record is from RNAcentral.